Molecule: long non-coding RNA, 607 nt
Filed under: Gossypium barbadense (sea-island cotton)
Lineage: Eukaryota; Viridiplantae; Streptophyta; Magnoliopsida; Malvales; Malvaceae
Description: long non-coding RNA (GBAR_LNC023314)
Source: RNAcentral
CUUCUUAAUCUGAGCAGCAUCCAGAAAAGUGGUUUCUUCAAUAAUGUCAGUCGGCAAGUCAUUUGCAAACAAGGCAAAGUCGAGGAUUUGGAGACCAGGGUCUGGACUGCUGAAGGAUACAAAUGCCAAGGAUUGAGUUUUGCCUGCAUUGAUUUGGAAAUGUAAUAAACCUUGUGGGAAUACCAUAAUGUCUCCUUUAUUCAGAGAUUUGAAGUAAACUUUGUUAGCUGAGGAUAUGAAACCAGCACAAAUUGUGCCUUGAAUAACAACAAGGACUUCAGAAGCCCCAGGGUGUGUAUGCAUAGGUAUCACUCCACCAACAGAUAAAUCCAAACGAGCUAUUGAAAUGCCGAGUCCGUUAACACCCGGGAAUUGAGCCGAAAAGGCUGGUGUUACUGCAGCUUUUAUGAGGUUCGAAGUGUUGCCUGUGGCAGCGAGGCCGGAGUAAACGAAGUCAUUUACGGUGACUGUCUUCUUGCAAGAAUAGCCUGCAGGGCCUACAGGGCCAUUCAAGUCCCCAACACAGAAGUCGGCUGCGUUGGUGGAGGAAAAUAGGAAAGAUAAAAUGAAAAAGAUUGGGAUAAACAUGUUUAUGGCACUGGUUUUU